RNAcentral lists this RNase P RNA (387 nucleotides) under Ignavibacteria bacterium. RNAcentral's name for it is "RNase P RNA component class A". It matches the Rfam family "Bacterial RNase P class A". From Rfam's summary of the family: Ribonuclease P (RNase P) is a ubiquitous endoribonuclease, found in archaea, bacteria and eukarya as well as chloroplasts and mitochondria. Its best characterised activity is the generation of mature 5'-ends of tRNAs by cleaving the 5'-leader elements of precursor-tRNAs. The record is from RNAcentral. Lineage: Bacteria; Pseudomonadati; Ignavibacteriota; Ignavibacteria.
AGGAAAGCUCAGGCAGCCGCUUUCAAUGUAACAGUUGGGAGAGGAAAGUCCGGACACUCAAGGGCAAUGCGCCAUGUGAAAGCAUGGGUACAGCAGGGCAAACCUGCUGUAACGGAUCAGUGUCACAGAAAACAAACUACCUUUUUGGGCUUUGCCCAAAAAGGAAAAGGUGAAAAGGCGGUGUAAGAGACCACCAUAGCGCUUAGUAAUAAGCGCUGCAGGAUAAACCCCGCAGGAGUGCAAGGCCGCGUAAAGUAUCACUUUUGGGCUGCCCGUCUGAAUCCGCAUUUUUAUGCGGUGUGAUACAGGGUAGGCUGCACCAGAUAAAUGGCUGCCCAGGCUCCGUAAGGAGCGGGUACAGGAUCCGGCUUAUGAGCUUUCCGUUUU